Molecule: ribosomal RNA, 513 nt
Filed under: uncultured bacterium
Lineage: Bacteria
Description: partial 16S ribosomal RNA
Rfam family: Bacterial small subunit ribosomal RNA
Source: RNAcentral
GAUGAACGCUGGCGGCGUGCCUAAUACAUGCAAGUCGAACGCGCAGCGAAAGGUGCUUGCACCUUUCAAGCGAGUGGCGAACGGGUGAGUAACACGUGGAUAACCUGCCUCAAGGCUGGGGAUAACAUUUGGAAACGGAUGCUAAUACCGAAUAAAACUUAGUAUCGCAUGAUAUAAAGUUAAAAGGCGCUACGGCGUCACCUAGAGAUGGAUCCGCGGUGCAUUAGUUAGUUGGUGGGGUAAAGGCUUACCAAGACAAUGAUGCAUAGCCGAGUUGAGAGACUGAUCGGCCACAUUGGGACUGAGACACGGCCCAAACUCCUACGGGAGGCUGCAGUAGGGAAUCUUCCACAAUGGGCGCAAGCCUGAUGGAGCAACGCCGCGUGUGUGAUGAAGGCUUUCGGGUCGUAAAGCACUGUUGUAUGGGAGGAAAUGCUAAAAUAGGGAAUGAUUUUAGUUUGACGGUACCAUACCAGAAAGGGACGGCUAAAUACGUGCCAGCAGCCGCAGUAA